This 478-nucleotide ribosomal RNA is filed under the name uncultured Actinomycetes bacterium. RNAcentral describes it as "bacterial SSU rRNA". It matches the Rfam family "Bacterial small subunit ribosomal RNA", at positions 355 to 848 of the family's 1533-position model. The record is from RNAcentral. Lineage: Bacteria; Bacillati; Actinomycetota; Actinomycetes.
UGGGGAAUUUUGCGCAAUGGGCGAAAGCCUGACGCAGCAACGCCGCGUGCGGGAUGAAGGCCUUCGGGUUGUAAACCGCUUUCAGCAGGGACGAAACUGACUGUACCUGCAGAAGAAGCCCCGGCUAACUACGUGCCAGCAGCCGCGGUAAUACGUAGGGGGCAAGCGUUAUCCGGAUUCAUUGGGCGUAAAGAGCGCGUAGGCGGCUUGUUAAGCGAGAUGUGAAAACCGGGGGCUCAACCCGCGGCCUGCAUCUCGAACUGGCAGGCUUGAGUCUGGUAGAGGAAAGUGGAAUUCCAGGUGUAGCGGUGAAAUGCGCAGAUAUCUGGAGGAACACCAGUGGCGAAGGCGGCUUUCUGGGCCACGACUGACGCUGAGGCGCGAAAGCUAGGGGGAGCAAACAGGAUUAGAUACCCUGGUAGUCCUAGCCGUAAACGAUGGGCACUAGGUGUGGGGAGCAUCAACUCUCUCCGUGCCG